GUUGUUCUAUGAUGAUUAUUUUUUUUACCUACAUUGUCUGAUAUCUGUGAUAGAUACAUACCACUGAGGAGAAC
This 74-nucleotide small nucleolar RNA is filed under the name Aplysia californica (California sea hare). RNAcentral's name for it is "small nucleolar RNA SNORD34". It matches the Rfam family "Small nucleolar RNA SNORD34". From Rfam's summary of the family: snoRNA U34 is found in intron 5 of the ribosomal protein L13a gene in humans. U34 is a member of the C/D class of snoRNA which contain C (UGAUGA) and D (CUGA) box motifs, and functions in directing site-specific 2'-O-methylation of 25S rRNAs. The record is from RNAcentral. Lineage: Eukaryota; Metazoa; Mollusca; Gastropoda; Aplysiida; Aplysiidae.